RNAcentral lists this transfer RNA (72 nucleotides) under Schistosoma japonicum. Its description in RNAcentral is "tRNA-OTHER". Lineage: Eukaryota; Metazoa; Platyhelminthes; Trematoda; Strigeidida; Schistosomatidae. The record is from RNAcentral.
GUCCUAGUGGUCCAACGGUAAAGCGCUCGUCGCGGAGCUAGAGGGUCCUGGGUUCGACCCCCAGCGGGAUCG